AUGCAGCCCCAGGUGGCCAAGCGGGGCAGUGGGGAAGGGGACAAGGGCAGGACGUGGGCAGGAUGGGGCUGUACCAUGGUCCAGCAUCACCACGGGGCAGGGACAGCCCCCAGGGCUUGUUGUGGGAUCGUGGAAGGUCCUCUAAGGGCUGAUCAACCCCGAGGGCAGCUGUGGGGAAGGUGGAGCCGCAGGAGCCCAAUCAUGCAGCAACCGCCCCCUAAUAAAAUCCAGAGGGGGAAGAGGAGCUGGUUUUGGAGGGUGCAGGUCUCUUGGGGGCAGAGCUUUGGCACUGGCUCAUCUUUGAUUUUUUUUUUUUAUUUUUGUAUUUAUUUAUUUAUUUCUUUUUGUGAGGAGGAGGCUGGAGCUGUGAAGAUGAGAGGGCUUUCCUGGGAUGCUGAGCUGAACCAAGAAAUAGCGAAGACAGAGUUUAGCAAUAACAAUGCCUGCUGGAACCAGAGUGACUGACAACAGCCUCUCCUGGUGAGAGACACGAGCGCGGCGUUUCAGACAAGAGGCGGCAUUUCCAUUCCUCCCAGAACCGCAACCUGUAUUUUGCAAGUUAAAUUGCUCCGAUCUGAUUGAAAUCCACCCGGCUAUGAGCUUUCUAUUUAGUGACACACUGCUCCAAAUUACACACCUGAUACAUUUGAAAUUUCUAAAUUACUCACGUAUUAGAAGUUAAUACCUGAGAAGGGCAAACACUCAGCGUGCUGACGGAUCGAGAGUUCGCUGCCGCCCCCUUCGAUAAUUAAGAACUUUGUGUAUUAGCGGUAAAGGGGAGGGCAGCAAAGUGUUGAGCGACGCUUUACCCUCCGUGGCAGUUUGAGGUUGCAAAGACCAAGGAGAGUGGGGAAGGAAAACUGCUUUUCAGAUCAUCUGGGCUUUUGUAACGUGGGGGAUGCGUGGCGGAGAGCCCCCAUCCAUCUGCGCUGGGGAGAGCCUGGGGGUCUCUUCCCAUCCUCCUCGUGCAAUGCGGCAUCCCAAGCUCGCCAAGGCGACAGAAGGCAAGAUUAAUCAGGAGGAAGGCUUGUUGGACCUGUGCUGGAAAGCAGACAGGAGGCUCAGUAUGCAUCCUGCAAACUGAAUCAUAACCACUUGCUCUGUAUUCUUCUCUCCCAUGAUAUUCACCAGCUGGGGUAGAUCUACCCCAAGGCAGGGCACGCAGCUCCUCCUUGUGUCCCCCUGCAGGAUCCUACGUCUAAGCAGAUGCAGAUCCCUGCUUCCCACCUGUUUGCCUUCAAGCUCUUGGGUUUCUGGUGCCACCAGUGCUCCAGCAGGUACAACCAGGGGUGCCUGUGGAGCUGCAGUGAGCUGGGCACAAGCAGGUCUCGAAGGCUCUGUGCACUCUGCUUCUGUCCCUGGGCUUCCAGGCACUGCCUGGGGCCCCUCAUGUGUCCCCCCUGCUCCUCCUGGCUGCUCUGCGUCACCUAUGGAGAGGGAAAUGCCCGCUGAUAGGUAGCAAUAAAUGUGUCUCCGCUCCUGCUUGUACA
RNAcentral lists this long non-coding RNA (1490 nucleotides) under Anser brachyrhynchus (Pink-footed goose). Its description in RNAcentral is "lncRNA (ENSABRG00000006552.1)". Lineage: Eukaryota; Metazoa; Chordata; Aves; Anseriformes; Anatidae. The record is from RNAcentral.